Long non-coding RNA from Grus americana (Whooping crane), 602 nucleotides. RefSeq lists it as uncharacterized. NCBI's taxonomy places the organism in Eukaryota, Metazoa, Chordata, Aves, Gruiformes, Gruidae. The transcript has 3 exons. The record is from RefSeq and is a predicted model, not a curated record.
GCAAGGGAACGGAACGGAAGGGGAGGGAAGCGGGAGAGGCGCUGGGUUCCCCGGGGCAGGAAGCGGCGGCCGGGGGCUCCGGGAAGGGCCCGGGUGAGGGGCGCCUCCGGGUCCCGGCAGCCAUGCCCUUGUCUCCCUCCCGGGCACGGAGCCGGGGCCCGGCGGGGCGGCGAAGCGCGGCGAGGGACCGGGAGCGGGAGCGGCAGCACCGAGCCCAGCCUCACAGACUUUCUUACGGCUCCAGCUCUGCGUUGUUUCAGCUCCAGCCCUGCAGUGUUUAGCUCAGCCUCAGCUCUACAUCUUCCUGCUGCCUCCGUGUUCUCACAGCAGCUCUGGGGGCUGUUGAUAAGCUUGUUUUCAGGCCCAGAAACACAGCACUCUGGGGACUUUUGGAGCAGCUGAACCCCAGGACUGAGCUGGGCUGUUCAGCCCCAACCACAGAACUUCAUCCUCCUUUGGGGGGCUGGAAACACCCUUGAGGCUGCUGCUGCUGUGGCCCAUGUGUGAAGGGAAAGGGGGGCCACAGCCCAGGGAGUGCUUGGGAACUGCGGGCACCCACCCAGACAGGGAAAGCUUUAUUGCACUUUAUUCCACUUGAUUUU